AUAGAACUGAGGAGGGAGGGCGCAAUAUCACAGCGAUAUGUCAAACAGACAGAGGAACAGGAAGGAGAGCAGAAAAGAUGAGAGAAGAAAGAAAGUCAUACACAUCUGGGAUUGCAUGAGGCUAAACAACACACAGAGCAACUUGCCCAGACAGAUGCCAGGCUGCAGAGAAGCCAGCUCUUUGAUACCUGUCCAACAGUGACGACGUCACAUCCUAUCCACACAGCAGGGGGCAACAGAUGGUUUGUGUCAUCCGCUAUCUUACUUGGGUGCUUUCUAAAACAUCUUUCACUCCCCAAAAAGGGUUGUGAUGGAAGAUGAAUAGGAGAACACAUAAGAGGUUGAAAAUGAAAGAGAUGGAAGACUGUUUCAAGCGUCUCCAUGACUACAGUAUCUGUCUGGCCAAAUGUGGUUAGUCAUUUUAAGUGUGUCUCUAAGUGUAUAUGUAUGUCGACACAUUAUUUCUGUUGUAUUCUGGAGUCUGGAUUAA
Molecule: long non-coding RNA, 490 nt
Organism: Myxocyprinus asiaticus (Chinese sucker)
Lineage: Eukaryota; Metazoa; Chordata; Actinopteri; Cypriniformes; Catostomidae
Exons: 3
Source: RefSeq, a predicted model, not a curated record